GCACCAAUGGCAUCAUCUCCACCCAGGACUUACCCAGGGAGACUUAAUAUGUCAUUGAUGAUUUUCCUACUGACUUCCCAGCCAUCGCCCCAUUCCUGGCUGACAGCCACUCGAGUCACAGCAGUGGCCGGAUCCUGUAUGGAGGACACAUCCUGGGAUGUGCUGAGUCUGGCUGCUUGCUACCUGUGCACAGGCUUCCCCCCUACCCACUUCUUCCUGGCCACCUGGGAGCAAGUGGGCGCCUAGGAGGAGGACAGGCUUGGUUGGGGCUGCGUGGUCUGGAGAGGAUAUGGAGACUUUGAUGAUUUUAAUCUGGAGCAUGCGCUGAAAGAAACUUCCUCAGUAAAGCGUGACUCAAACAAACAAGUCCACCAAGCAAGCACAAGUGGUCGGCCGUGCACCACACUGACAAUCUUGCCUUCAGAAAAGU
RNAcentral lists this long non-coding RNA (430 nucleotides) under Rattus norvegicus (Norway rat). RNAcentral's name for it is "long non-coding RNA NONRATT025437". Lineage: Eukaryota; Metazoa; Chordata; Mammalia; Rodentia; Muridae. The record is from RNAcentral.